Molecule: ribosomal RNA, 253 nt
Filed under: uncultured bacterium
Lineage: Bacteria
Description: partial 16S ribosomal RNA
Rfam family: Bacterial small subunit ribosomal RNA
Source: RNAcentral
UACGUAGGUGGCAAGCGUUGUCCGGAUUUACUGGGCGUAAAGAGCGCGCAGGCGGUCAAGUAAGUCGAAUGUGAAAGCCCCUGGCUCAACCAGGGAGGGUCAUUCGAUACUGCUCGACUCGAAGGCAGGAGAGGGAAGUGGAAUUCCGGGUGUAGUGGUGAAAUGCGUAGAUAUCCGGAGGAACACCAGUGGCGAAGGCGACUUUCUGGCCUGUUCUUGACGCUGAGGCGCGAAAGCUAGGGGAGCAAACGGG